AACGAACGCUGGCGGCAUGCCUAACACAUGCAAGUCGAACGAGACCUUCGGGUCUAGUGGCGCACGGGUGCGUAACGCGUGGGAACCUGCCUUUAGGUUCGGAAUAACUCAGAGAAAUUUGAGCUAAUACCGGAUGAUGUCUUCGGACCAAAGAUUUAUCGCCUUUAGAUGGGCCCGCGUUGGAUUAGCUAGUUGGUGGGGUAAAGGCCUACCAAGGCGACGAUCCAUAGCUGGUCUGAGAGGAUGAUCAGCCACACUGGGACUGAGACGCGGCCCAGACUCCUACGGGAGGCAGCAGUGGGGAAUAUUGGACAAUGGGCGAAAGCCUGAUCCAGCAAUGCCGCGUGAGUGAUGAAGGCCUUAGGGUUGUAAAGCUCUUUUACCCGAGAUGAUAAUGACAGUAUCGGGAGAAUAAGCUCCGGCUAACUCCGU
RNAcentral lists this ribosomal RNA (432 nucleotides) under uncultured bacterium. Its description in RNAcentral is "partial 16S ribosomal RNA". It matches the Rfam family "Bacterial small subunit ribosomal RNA", at positions 29 to 506 of the family's 1533-position model. The record is from RNAcentral.